Caloramator australicus RC3 is the source of this 73-nucleotide transfer RNA. It matches the Rfam family "tRNA". Rfam says of the family: Transfer RNA (tRNA) molecules are approximately 80 nucleotides in length. Their secondary structure includes four short double-helical elements and three loops (D, anti-codon, and T loops). Further hydrogen bonds mediate the characteristic L-shaped molecular structure. tRNAs have two regions of fundamental functional importance: the anti-codon, which is responsible for specific mRNA codon recognition, and the 3' end, to which the tRNAs corresponding amino acid is attached (by aminoacyl-tRNA synthetases). tRNAs cope with the degeneracy of the genetic code in two manners: having more than one tRNA (with a specific anti-codon) for a particular amino acid; and 'wobble' base-pairing, i.e. permitting non-standard base-pairing at the 3rd anti-codon position. NCBI's taxonomy places the organism in Bacteria, Bacillati, Bacillota, Clostridia, Eubacteriales, Clostridiaceae. The record is from Rfam.
GGGCCAUUAGCUCAGUUGGUAGAGCACCUGACUCUUAAUCAGGGUGUCCUGGGUUCGAGUCCCCGAUGGCCCA